RNAcentral lists this ribosomal RNA (120 nucleotides) under uncultured bacterium. RNAcentral describes it as "partial 16S ribosomal RNA". It matches the Rfam family "Bacterial small subunit ribosomal RNA", at positions 29 to 159 of the family's 1533-position model. The record is from RNAcentral.
AACGAACGCUGGCGGCAGGCUUAACACAUGCAAGUCGAGCGCCCUCUUCGGAGGGAGCGGCAGACGGGUGAGUAACACGUGGGAAUCUACCCAUCUCUAGGGAAUAACUCAGGGAAACUU